ACUAACGUCUUCGUCGUAAACGGUCGACGUGCUUUUCGAUCUUGAAACCAGAGUCCACGGAUCCGGUGGUACGAUCAUUGCGUCGUCCUGUACGUUAAUUCCGCGAUUAAUUACGAUUAGUUAAGCUUGAACAGAAAGUGUAGAAAAGGACACCUUUAAUAAUGACGCACAUUAGAGACGGACGAGUAGUUGCAUGCGAAUCGUGCUGAAUUGGUACCUUAUCGUCACGUGACAUUACUUUGCGUGAAACUCAGUAUCGUUAUUUUAUUAUGGACCAUGCAAUAUUGACAGGAAUUUUUGAAAAUGCGACGAUCGUGCAGGAUUAUCAUUCUAGGAAUAUUUGAAGUACCCUAGAUAUGCUCUCUUCAGUUCUAAGAACUGUCAUAUACCCAUGACAAUAUACCGGAAGUAGAGAAGUGAAAAAUAAAAACACAAAAAUAUGACAAUAAAACAUGCAAUAAAAAGCGAACUACCAAAGCU
Molecule: long non-coding RNA, 480 nt
Organism: Megachile rotundata (alfalfa leafcutting bee)
Lineage: Eukaryota; Metazoa; Arthropoda; Insecta; Hymenoptera; Megachilidae
Source: RefSeq, a predicted model, not a curated record